RNAcentral lists this long non-coding RNA (759 nucleotides) under Homo sapiens (human). RNAcentral describes it as "non-protein coding lnc-PDGFA-9:1". The record is from RNAcentral. Lineage: Eukaryota; Metazoa; Chordata; Mammalia; Primates; Hominidae.
GCACCUGCACAGAACUAGGGCACCCCACCUGUGUGGAGCACUCGCCGUCCUGUCGUGAGCCUGGGGGGCAGCGGUGGCCUGGCAUGGACCCGGGCACACUGACCCUGCCCCGCACCCCAACGGUGGCCAGGAAUUUUCUGGAGCCACAGGGCCCUGCCAUAGAAGGUCAGACUCUUGGUCUCCAUCCAUCCCCAGCACGAGGUCUGUGCAGAGAGUGAGGGCACUGCCUCUUCUAGACCUCCUUGUCUGGCCACGCGUGCCCUUUCCCCAGCUGUUCCUGUUCCUCCAGCUGCUUCUGUGCCUUCCCUCACACUGUUUUCUUGAGAAACACACAAGCAUUUGCUCCUUUCCGGUCUCUACUCAUUAAAGGCCUUUCAUUCCCCAAGCACUCAGAGAGACUUCCUCUGAGCAGCCCCCUCCAGCCCACCCAGUGGCCACUACACCCACUGCCUGCGUCCUGCUGUGUCCCCCAAGGCUGGGGUGAGACUCUCACAUGUCUCACAUAAGGAAGGAGGGAAAGAGGGAGAGAGGGAGGAAGGGAGGGAAGGAGGGAGGGAGGGAAGGACGGAGGGACAGAGAAUAGGAAGGAGGAAGGGAGGAGGGAGGGAGGGAAGGAGGAAGGGAGGGAAGGAGGGAGGGAGGGAAGGAGGGAGGGAGGGAAGGAGGGAGGGAAGGGGGAAGAAGAGAGGGAAGGAAAGAAGGAAGGAGGGAGGGAGGGAGGGGAAGUUCCUCCACAAACCAGCCACCUCCCCCCAUCAC